AUUGAACGCUGGCGGCAUGCCUUACACAUGCAAGUCGAACGGUAACGGGCCUUCGGGUGCCGACGAGUGGCGAACGGGUGAGUAAUACAUCGGAACGUGCCCGAUCGUGGGGGAUAAUGAGGCGAAAGCUUUGCUAAUACCGCAUACGAUCUACGGAUGAAAGCAGGGGACCGCAAGGCCUUGCGCGGACGGAGCGGCCGAUGGCAGAUUAGGUAGUUGGUGGGAUAAAAGCUUACCAAGCCGACGAUCUGUAGCUGGUCUGAGAGGAUGAUCAGCCACACUGGGACUGAGACACGGCCCAGACUCCUACGGGAGGCAGCAGUGGGGAAUUUUGGACAAUGGGCGCAAGCCUGAUCCAGCCAUGCCGCGUGAAGGAUGAAGGCCUUCGGGUUGUAAACUGCUUUUGUACGGAACGAAAAGCCUUCUUUUAAUACAGGAGGGUCAUGACGGUACCGUAAGAAUAAGCACCGGCUAACUACGUG
This 482-nucleotide ribosomal RNA is filed under the name uncultured bacterium. Its description in RNAcentral is "partial 16S ribosomal RNA". It matches the Rfam family "Bacterial small subunit ribosomal RNA", at positions 30 to 507 of the family's 1533-position model. The record is from RNAcentral.